AUGGGUAGUGGUACAAACAUGGUACAGCUCCUCAGACUAUUAGUUGUUCUGCUGUGGACUACAAGUCUAACUGAUGGCAGCAAUGUCAACCAGACUGACACCCUUUGGGAAACACAGGGAGACAAUGCAACCAUGAGCUGCACACACACAAAGGGUGUUGACUACUACCAGAUGUACUGGUACAGACAGCUGCCAGGAGCAACUAUGGAGCUAAUCGUGUUCACAAGAUCUGGGAUCAAGGAUCAUGAUUUUGGAGGAUUCAGAAAAGACAAGUUCUCAGCCACAAAGCCUGACGCUGAGAGCGGGACGUUCACAGUGAAGGGUCUGCAGCCAGGAGACAAAGGCUUGUACUUCUGUGCUGUGAGUCAACACAGUGACACACACACAGGAGGAGGCUGA
Non-coding RNA from Gymnodraco acuticeps, 399 nucleotides. Lineage: Eukaryota; Metazoa; Chordata; Actinopteri; Perciformes; Bathydraconidae. The record is from the annotation of a RefSeq genome assembly.